RNAcentral lists this transfer RNA (70 nucleotides) under Anguilla anguilla (European eel). Its description in RNAcentral is "tRNA-OTHER". Lineage: Eukaryota; Metazoa; Chordata; Actinopteri; Anguilliformes; Anguillidae. The record is from RNAcentral.
UUCCGUGUAGUGUAGCGGUUAUCACGUUCGCCUCACGCACGGAAACGAGGUUCGAAUCCACCCUUGGGCA